GUGUUUCUGCUGUCGUUCAUCGCGCGAUAUUUCAUCAUGCCGGUUUACAUAUUUCGCUUGUGUCUAAGUUUUCCGAAUGAUCCCGGAUUCCAACCCAAUCAUCAGGAAUAAGUUUACAACUGUUCGUCAACCCAUCGUGAAGCAGGAAUUAAUGUCGUCGCAUACGCUAUUCACUAACAUGAUGUACAUGCAAUCGGUAUCAACAUCUGGUUCGCAAUGGAUGUUUUGUUGAUCAACAUUCGUUCAUAUUAUCCGGAUAUCUUUGACCUGAAUAUACUUUUGUUGCAUUACUUCGAGUAGCAGAAUUACCACUCAUCCAUAGUUUGUGUGGAUUCGGAAUUCGCUACGUCGAAAUGGUGAAGUAUGGAGGAAACGUACUGCAACGGGUUUGAAAGUAUAGUUCUUGCCAUGAAAUCAAAGUACAGAAAGCAAAACCGUCAAAGAAGCCUGCGAUGCAGCUAAUCGGUAAGACCCGAAACUUGCUUCGCAUAUUAUUUAUUUGAAGUAGUUUAAAGAGAAAAUAGAUAAUGUCGGCAAUAUCCAGUUCUCGCAUGGGACUAACUAUGUACCUACCCUACUGAUUUUAUACGAAGCGGAGGAAUUAAUUUGUGGACGUUACAGCGGUUCGGCCAGACACAUGCACAAUGGUUACUUUGUCGUCAAAUAUUGAACCUAGUACAUUCGGGCAUUCAGACGGUGUGCAGCUUACGUUUUGAUUGCUUAUGAGCGGUUGCUAUCAGCAAACUAGGCUGUUUUUGUGCUGAGUGUCUGUUUCUCAAUCAGUGCCUUAAGUCCUUGACAGUAUUGCGAAGAAAAUCUAUUCACAAAUGCGAGCUUCGUGACAAACGAUUCAUCAGGAGCAGCACGAUGCACGCUUUGUAUAAAAUGAGUCCUAUGGAAGCGCUAUGUUCAACAUACCCGGACACAUCACGGUGAUUGGCUAUUCGAUUGGAACUUCUAUGAUAAGAUACUCGGGUCGGUUUUUGGUAUCCCCGAUGUUCUCAUACCAGCCACGGGUGAUAAAAAUUUGGCCCUUGACAGUUAACUAUUCGAACACAUGCCUUUCAUGUGAGCAACUUCAGCUCAUGUGUGCCUCAGGCACACUGUCGUAACGUGCCGGUUCACAUUAUCCGGGAUGCGUCAUAAUAUCCGGGACAUUAUACUAUAGUUUGCCAAUCCGCUAGCAGCCUGCCAUCCCAAGUUUCAUCUGCAAACUAUGGUAGAUCUGAUAAGGCAACCUAUUCAGCUUUUUGCUGGUGGCUGCGUUUUUAAAUGCGCACUCUAUUUUGACAAGUCGUCUGUACAGUGUCAACUUUGACAACUCGUCAGCAGUGUCAAUUUUGACAAGCGGUCUCAUCAGCCUUGAGUUUCAUGGCUAUCAUAUAUCCUGCUUUAUUUACAAGCAGAUUCUCAGCUUUUAGAAAGUGUCGAGAGAAUUAUGCGAUUAGAACCUCUGCUCUUACCUAAAUUCAUCACACAUGAAUUGACUAAUAAUAGCACAUGAAACUUGCUUUUAAACCACCCGGAAAAGCAUCUUUUACGAUGCAGUACCUAAAACUAGACCUAAACAAUGUUUGUUCGCAUCUGAUUUUGGAUACAAAUUUGUAGCAAAAUUUAGCACCAAGAAUUGACAAUUGUUAGCUGCAGCUGCGUUUACCGAAAAAUCGGUUGCAAUUUUCCUGACUUAUUAGUUUCGACUAAAUUGAGUAUCGCUUAUUGGUUUUCCUCAGUAUAACAAUCGCCCAAUUACAUUAUAAGACUGAUUAAUUGCCUUAUUAUUCGACCGAUUUUUGUAUGCCGAUAGCGAGUAGCUAAUAGUUUUGAAUAGCAGAUGUUCUGUAUCCACAUUUCGAGUCGAGUGCCACUGUUGAAUGGGACUACAGUUGACUGUGCGGAUCCGUACCGAAAUCAGUUUAGUUUUUCAACUGAAAAACCAUAUAUUUAUUUGACGUUCAAUUUUAGUUGAGAGCAGAAGUGAACGCCUACCGCGAUCAAAAAAUUGAAUCUAAAGCACGGUUUGUCAAAUUUGUCAAGACUGAUGAUUUGUCAAAAUUGACAUUGGACGGAUGAUUUGUCAAAGUGGGGUGCGCAUUUGGGGACGCAGCCACCAACAAAAAGCUGAAUAGAGUCGUGCAAGUCGCAUGGGUUUGGAUGUGUUAUUGUCCUAAAAGGAAACAAACUAAAAAAUGUUUUUUUUCAAUAGUUUCGGGCCUAAAAAUUUAAAAAGACCUGAGAUAUUAACUCACGGUACUAAUCUGCAUCACAAUAUGCCUUAACCCGCACACCCUUAAAGAUCCCUACUGCCUUUAAAUCGCAUUCGCAAAUUGCAUUUGUUCCUAGGGGCAAUUAGCACAGGCGAAUUGAGUCAAACGUCAAACUUUUUAAAUCGAGACCAUGUUCGUCCGCAUUUUUUUGACAGGGCAGCUUGACAGCAACGCCCAGUUGAAGAUGUCGGGCGAUCAUUGAAUAACCAUCCAACGCAUUUGACUAACGUAGGAUGACUUAAUCUCACGGGGCGGUUGACGUAAACGCCCAGUCAUUCUGGCAAAGAAUUAGCUCAAAUCGAAGACUACAUAUUAAGAAGACUGAUAUCUCUUUCCUUCCCCCAUACAAACGAGAAGCGACAGAAGUUACAGCGCCUCUAUUGGAUGAAGGUAGGAAGCUUAAUGUAAAAAUGUAUAUGUGUGUGUGCAUCACUAUGGAAAGUACCACCUUUACCCGCAAGUGGCGCAGCUGUUACUGUCUCCGGAUUUUAGACAGAGUUGCCAGUCUUCUUGAUAUGUAGUCUUCGCUCAAAUGCAACAACCGUUUCUGACAGAAGCGGUUAUACUAACCGAUGCUGCUCACUUUUAGCCAGAAUCCAGCCACCCUGUCAAAAAAAAUGCGGACGAACAUGGUCAGGCGAUUUAAAAAAUUUGACGUUUGACUCAACUCGCCUGUGCUAAUUGCCCCUAGGAACAAAUGCAAUUUGCGAAUGCGAUUUAAAGGCAAUUUCAAUACUUAGACAAAUUUUCUGGCGGCUGAAAUGGACUUGGUUGUUUUUUGCGUUUUUGAAACAUGGCGGUUCAUGUUUGCCUUAAGUUUAAAAUUGUUUUUUUUUUAACAAUUGGCGUAUUCCCGCUUGUAUUUUGUUUGUUUAGUGCACUUAAUUUAGUCAACGAAUGUGGGAAAUUGUGGAAUCGUGUGUAAGUAUAGUGGAACAAGAUCUCUGACCUAAAGUCUAAAUGAAAGUCAGAUUGUGGUAAGUUUUGGUGUGCAAUACGAAUUUCACCAUCGAUUCUUCCUAUAGUCUGGUGUUGAUUACCUAGUGUACUGAUAAAUUUAUGUGAGUAGAUAGUGAAUCCGAAAAUAAUUAUUAUUUUUAAUUUUCAUAUCAGGCAAUUAAGGGCGAUUAAAUGGCGCGUUCCCUGGGCGAUUUGGGGGCGAUUUAAGGGCGGGUAGAGCGGCAAAAAAAUGACAGCGGCAAAUCGCCCAAAUGUUGCAUGUAAAAUAGCCCCCUAAUUGCCAGCAAAUUGCUGGCAAAUUGUAGGGCAAUUAGCGCAUCCGAGUUGGCAAAUAGCCCCCCGUCAGCCAACUUGCCCUUUUUGACUGGGCAGGAAUGUACGGUCAAGAUUUCUGUACGUUUCCUACCACAUCUUUGUCAGACGUUUUGCUCGAUUCGUGCUAAAUUCUACCAGGUAGGAAUUUUCAAGUUCUUUGCACGAUUUAUUUCCGAAUUAUGCCAGGGUGUUGCUUGGUCCCUGUCAAAAUCUGCCAGAAAAAGCGAGUGAAACCGAGUUCGCCCUAGCUCAACUAACAAAUGCUAUUUGCGAAUGCGAUUUAAAGGUAAUUUCAAUACUUAGACAAAUUUUCUGGCUGCUGAAAUGCACUUGGUUGUUUUUCAAACAUAGCGGUUCAUGUUUGAUUUAAGCUUAAAAUUGUUUUUUGAACAAUUGGUGUAUUUUCACUUGUACUUUGUUUGUCUAGUGCACUUCAUUUAGCAAACGAAUGUGGGAAAUUGUGGAAUCGUGUGUAUGUAUAGUAGAACAAGAUCUCUGACCUAAACCUUAAUGAACGUCAGAUUGUGAUAAGUUUUGAAGUGCAAUACCAAUUUCACCAUUGAUUCUUUCUAUAAUUUGGUGGUGAUUACCUAGUAUACUGGUAAGUAUAUGUGAGUAGAUAAUGAAUCCGAAAAUAAGCAUUAUUUUUAAUUUUAAUAUUAGGCAAUUAAAGGCGAUUGAAUGGCGCGUUCCAUGGGCGAUUUAAGGGCGGGUUGGGCGGCAAAAAAAUGACAGCGGCAAAUCGCCCAAAUGUUGCAUUUGAAAUAGCCCCCAAAUUGCUAGCAAUUUGCUGGAAAAUUGUAGGGCAAUUAGCGCAUCCGAGUUGGCAAAUAGCCCCCCGUUAGCCAGCAAUUUGCCCUUUUUGACAGGGGACUCAAAAAAAUUAUCACUUCUCGACAAACAUAUGACUACGGCCUAAAAGCCAACUGUCAAAAUCCACUUUGAAUGGAAAUUCCGGACAAAUCGUUACGCGCCAAUCAGAGAUGUUUAUAGUAACCGAAAGAAAAAUAUUUUUUCUUUCAUAAACUGUUGUGAACUGUGUUCGGCUAGUAACGGUUUGUCCGGAAUUUCCAUUCAAAGUGGAUUUUGACAGUUAGCUUUUAGGCCGUAAUCAUAUGUUUGUCGAGACUUAUCAUAUGCAGAAACAUAUAAAUAUUCUCCAUAAUACUUUUCACAUAAAUAUUACAUGUUUCACUCAUGGAUGAUUUUAUUGUCAAUCUAAUCAAAAUCAGCGUCGACUGCAUGUAUAUGUUUAGUGAAAAUCAGCUACUUUCCAUCGGAAUGUCACACAUUCUAGUUGAAAUCCACAUUAUUUUUAUGGGAAUUUUUUGUGAUAAUUAGCUGCAUUGAAAAUAACAUUCAAAUGCUUUACUUAUGUGUUUAAGAAGAGUGGAGCAAAUGGAAUAAAUAUACAGACAUUGAAUUAAUAUAUCAUGUAUUCAAUAUAAAUAUUUACAAUAGCAUAACCAAAUACAAAUAUGUUAAUACGGAAUACUCUGACGAUUUUUCGAGGAUACAUUUUAUAACCUUGGUACACCGAUAAAGGUACACUGUCAAGGUGACAGUGUACUUUGAUUAAAUAUUCAGAAAAUUGGCAGCCCUGUGCCUAAAAAAAUCACCGUUACUAUUAGGUUUUACACCAACCGACGCAUCCCCACAAAAUGAGCCGGAUGAACUUCGUUUGACAAUUCUCGGUGGUUUGUUUACAUGGAAGUUACGUGAGUUCGAAUGUAAUAGAUGAGCACCCGUUGCACUCGCACUCACGCAACUGACAAGGUAAACAAACCACCGAGAAUAGACCUUUCUCGUCAAAAAAUUUUAUAUGAUAGGAUGCUUCCUUUUUUAUCCCCAAUUCGUUACUGCUGAUUGCCGCGAUGAUUUGGUACCUCUAACUAUUGAAAAAAUCAAAAAUAGUGCAAGCUGCUCAUUUAACCCCAUAUUCUAAAUACCUAUCUUGCCUUGUUUCCCCGUAUUUUUACACCAUUUGGAUGAAUUUCAUGUGGGGAAUACUAAAAGGAUGCCAGAUCUGCAUAUAUAUUAGUAAAUCUGCAGAUUUUGCAUUUUCACUGCAGAUGUUUUGCAGAUUACAAAUAUUUAGCAGAACAAAGCCUAUGCCAGCCAAUUUAUACACAAGCCUUCAACAUUUUUGAUCAUUUAAAAUAUAUACAUACUACAUUUCUAUGUCAAAUUUAUUGAAGAUUUUUGUAGCAAUCUGCAGACUUUUAUAUUUUCACUGCAGGCUAUUGCUUAAAUAGACCUGGCAUCACUGAUGCUGAAAUGAUUCAUUCAUAUACCUGUCAAAAACAUAGAGCAUUGCAUGAAAAUGUAUAACCUCACUUUUCUGACAGUUCAGUGUGCUUGUUUACCUAAGACUUGUUUACAUGAACUUUUAAAAUUUACAUUACUUGAAUACUUUCGAUGCUCUUUGAAAGACUAUCAACUCAAGAGGGAUGAGGAUUGGAACAAUGGGAACCUGGUGCCACAUUAUGCAACCAAUUCGAAUCGAACUUUUCACACAAGCUUGAAUACAAUAAACCUUUCGUUUCGAGAUGCGUAAUGUCACCCCUGCUUCAUACAUUGACCAAUCGGCGCUGGAUGCAAAACCCGGUGGCAUAUGCUGAAUCGUAAGAUCAAGCAUUGGGCUACCCGAAUAGAAAUGUACAGUAACAAAACCACACUGUAAAUAAUGUACACUUUUAUUCGAAGAGAUUCGACACAUAAAAUUUAAGUUUUAAGCAACGUUGAAAAUUCAACUGCUUUCCAUAUGCCCUUUAGCAACAUUACUCUUGAAAAUUAAGUGUGCGAUCCUAUGACCUGAAUGACUGUUAUUGCAUUUAAAUUUAAAGUGUCGGAAUAUUGAAUAAUAAAAGUUUUGACCACGAAACUUAUGUUUUCCCACAAAUGCGGCAACAUUAAGUGUAAAAACGCUUAAAUAAAAGUUUUUUCCACAUCGAUUUGAGGCAACAUGGCUGCGCAACACGCUGAACUUAUCAAUUUAGGAUUUUCGCCGCAUAUUUCGGAGAUUUUAAAUGGUAAGUAAAUCAAUUUAUCUUAUUUGUUUGCAUAAUUGAUAGAUAAACUUUCGUUUGCAGCUCAUAACAAAAAUUGAGUUGACAUAAAUAAGACCUGUGAAUUCUUACAGAACAAAGGAUUUGUUGAAGCAGCCAAAGAUAACGAGUGCGAAUGGAGAAGGCGUGUUAGCAGCAAUUCGGCUUCCAGGAUGAGAUUCGACAGGAAACUAUUUUCAGCACUGGAGAAAUAAACUUGGCACAGAACCCUUAGGUAUCUGCCUCGUCUUCCCCGUAUGAUGGAAUAGUUCCACAGGCAACUUAGCAAGAAAUAUAUAGGAUUCUUUAGUGCUAUGACCUAAUCGGGAAACAGGUACGGCUCAAUAACUCUAGACACCUGCAUCUUUUUCCCCGUUUGAUGUAAUAAUUAUAGAGGUAAUGUCCGUAGGGAAGUGCGUCGCAACGUUCGGGACAGAUUUUAACAGCUCACCCAUAGUGGUGCUUUCAAUAGUAGAUAGUGUUAUUUUGAAAGAUUAA
Molecule: long non-coding RNA, 7084 nt
Organism: Topomyia yanbarensis
Lineage: Eukaryota; Metazoa; Arthropoda; Insecta; Diptera; Culicidae
Exons: 4
Source: RefSeq, a predicted model, not a curated record